UCCGGCUUAUCACCGGCAGUUUCUUUAGAGUGCCCAACUAAAUGGUAGCAACUAAAGACGAGGGUUGCGCUCGUUGCGGGACUUAACCCAACAUCUCACGACACGAGCUGACGACAGCCAUGCAGCACCUGUGUUACGGUUCCCUUUCGGGCACUCCCCCAUCUCUGGAGGAUUCCGUACAAGUCAAGGGUAGGUAAGGUUUUUCGCGUUGCAUCGAAUUAAUCCACAUAAUCCACCGCUUGUGCGGGUCCCCGUCAAUUCCUUUGAGUUUUAACCCUGCGGCCGUACUCCCCAGGCGGUCGAUUUAACGCGUUAGCUCCGGAGGCCACAGUUCAUGACCACAACCUCCAAAUCGACAUCGUUUACAGCGUGGACUAC
Molecule: unclassified non-coding RNA, 378 nt
Filed under: uncultured Gammaproteobacteria bacterium
Lineage: Bacteria; Pseudomonadati; Pseudomonadota; Gammaproteobacteria
Description: contains 16S-23S intergenic spacer region
Source: RNAcentral